This is a ribosomal RNA of Pteropus vampyrus (large flying fox), 119 nucleotides long. Lineage: Eukaryota; Metazoa; Chordata; Mammalia; Chiroptera; Pteropodidae. The record is from Ensembl.
UUUUAAAGGAAUUUUUUAUUUCAUCUAAAAUGUCAAAUAUGAUCUCGGAAGCUAAGCAGGGUCAGGCCUGGUUAGUACUUGGAUGGGAGACCACCUAGGAAUACCGGGUGCUGUAGGCA